RNAcentral lists this transfer RNA (67 nucleotides) under Gasteruption sp. M19. RNAcentral's name for it is "tRNA-Gly". The record is from RNAcentral. Lineage: Eukaryota; Metazoa; Arthropoda; Insecta; Hymenoptera; Gasteruptiidae.
AUUAAUAUAGUAUAAAAAUUACAAUUAACUUCCAAUUAAAAAAUCUUAUUUUAAUUAAGUAUUAAUA